RNAcentral lists this ribosomal RNA (482 nucleotides) under uncultured bacterium. Its description in RNAcentral is "bacterial SSU rRNA". It matches the Rfam family "Bacterial small subunit ribosomal RNA", at positions 29 to 507 of the family's 1533-position model. The record is from RNAcentral.
AUUAAACGCUGGCGGCAUGCCUUACACAUGCAAGUCGAACGGCAGCACGGGGCAACCUGGUGGCGAGUGGCGAACGGGUGAGUAAAGCAUCGGAACGUGCCCUGGAGUGGGGGAUAACGUAGCGAAAGUUACGCUAAUACCGCAUAUUCUGUGAGCAGGAAAGCAGGGGAUCGCAAGACCUUGCGCUCUGGGAGCGGCCGAUGUCGGAUUAGCUAGUUGGUGGGGUAAAGGCCUACCAAGGCGACGAUCCGUAGCGGGUCUGAGAGGAUGAUCCGCCACACUGGGACUGAGACACGGCCCAGACUCCUACGGGAGGCAGCAGUGGGGAAUUUUGGACAAUGGGCGGAAGCCUGAUCCAGCCAUGCCGCGUGAGUGAAGAAGGCCUUCGGGUUGUAAAGCUCUUUCGGCCGGGAAGAAAUCGCAUGGGUCAAUACCCUGUGUGGAUGACGGUACCGGAAUAAGAAGCACCGGCUAACUACGUG